AGAGAGAGAGAGAGAGGGAGAGAGAGGGAGGGAAGGGAGAGGAGGAGAGAGAAGGGGUGAGAGUGUUGUGCGAGAGUGGUUCGGGGAGGGAGAAUUGGGGGUGAGGGUGAGGGUGAGGGUGAGGGUGAGGGUUUGGGUGGUCAGAAGACUCAGAACAGCCAAAUCGGCUUGAGCCUGUUUUUCUGGGAUUUUUUUCCCCUUCUUUUUCUUUUUCUUUUUUCUUUUUU
RNAcentral lists this long non-coding RNA (227 nucleotides) under Eucalyptus grandis. Its description in RNAcentral is "long non-coding RNA (EGRA_LNC001107)". The record is from RNAcentral. Lineage: Eukaryota; Viridiplantae; Streptophyta; Magnoliopsida; Myrtales; Myrtaceae.